GGAGGCGUGCCCGAAGUAUUAGGGACCACUUUGAUAGAGUGGACAAUGGGGGUUAAAGUCCCCCCGCCUCUU
This 72-nucleotide transfer RNA is filed under the name Parupeneus multifasciatus (manybar goatfish). RNAcentral's name for it is "tRNA-Ile". It matches the Rfam family "tRNA". Rfam says of the family: Transfer RNA (tRNA) molecules are approximately 80 nucleotides in length. Their secondary structure includes four short double-helical elements and three loops (D, anti-codon, and T loops). Lineage: Eukaryota; Metazoa; Chordata; Actinopteri; Syngnathiformes; Mullidae. The record is from RNAcentral.